RNAcentral lists this long non-coding RNA (624 nucleotides) under Solanum tuberosum (potato). Its description in RNAcentral is "long non-coding RNA (STUB_LNC008744)". Lineage: Eukaryota; Viridiplantae; Streptophyta; Magnoliopsida; Solanales; Solanaceae. The record is from RNAcentral.
CCAAAGUAAUUGAAAAAUUUAAACAAACAAAAUCAAAACAAAAAAAGAAGCUACAGAACAAUUUGUAAACUAAGCUCCUUUCUUCCUCGGAGCUCCAAGCGACGGUCCAACGCCGCAGCAUUGAUGCCGGAAAAUCGAGGUACAUAGUUGAAGCCAACCUCAAUCACACCAAACUUGAAACUCCUAUGAAAUUGUCAGCUAUAUAACUCCCAUCAUCAUAGAUCUGCCAUGGAAAUAACACAAAAAGCUUGGAUAAAUUUCAUCCAAGACAACUAGCUCAUCUCUAAUUUCUUUUCUUCUUCUUAGCAACUUAGUAGAAUAUUCAUGUCAGCCAUCAAAUUUCACCAUCACGAUCUGAAAAUCACCACCACAAAUCAUAGAUAGAAAUCUCUUUCCCACUCUCCAUAAUCAAAAACUAUUAAGUAAAUUACUUUACACUCAUUUUCAAAAUCAACUAAUAGUCAUUAAAACUCCAUUGAAAUACCAUUUUGAAGCUAUUGUAACAAACUUUUUCAGUUAACAAAAUCCAUUCAAACAACUUAAUAAUGAUGGAAAUCUCUAAAAAAAAAAAUCUCAAAAAUUCCUCAUCGGAAAAGAUUCUGACGGACAAUUUAUUUUUUAGGU